RNAcentral lists this long non-coding RNA (2539 nucleotides) under Agrilus planipennis (emerald ash borer). Its description in RNAcentral is "uncharacterized LOC112904842". The record is from RNAcentral. Lineage: Eukaryota; Metazoa; Arthropoda; Insecta; Coleoptera; Buprestidae.
UCGCAGUAAUUCAGUUAAGAUACGCAUUGGUAUUGCGGGAAGCGCGUGUGUUAGGUGUAUUGUUGUCGGUUGCAGUUUUGCUAAUGAGCAAUGUAAAUACAAUUUUUUUAUGACAAUUAAUAUAUUUCGAUCUACUGUUGAAUGAAUGAAAGUGCCGUUAUGAAAUUUUGCUGAUUUAAUCCGAUAUAGUUAUAGUGUCCUUAUGUAUCAUUUUCCUGUACAUAAUAUCGAUUUUGUUUUCUAACCUAACUGCGAGUGAGUCGUAAAUUAUUUGCAAUCCUUGUGACCUGGGAAAUACUAUUUGUUAGUGAUGUUUUUUUUAUUUUAUAACUUUCUGAUAUUUAAGCUUCAAAACUGUUUCACAGAGUUAUUGUGCGGGUCGUGUUAACUCUUGGAUACCUAUUUGGUUUUUUUAAACAAUAAAAAUCGGCGAGGAAAAUAUGAAAGAAUAAAAUGGAUUUCGACAAAGAUCCAACAUUGCAAGAAUGGACCAGAGAACAACCCCUGGCAGUUUUGGCGUUGGAUAGUGCUGAUAGAGCAGUACUUAGGAUAGCAGGCGAUUGCUCCUCGUCGCACACAGACCACGAAAAGAAGGUAAUUAUGGGACAGAAACGCAAUGAAAGAAGCUAUAUGUGCAAUCAGGGAAAAGAAAGAUGGGAUACUUAAAGGCAUUCAAACACUACUAGGUACCAAAGGCUACACUUCGCCGGUUGGUAGUAAAAGAAGAUUUACCUUUAGAUUUAGUAACAUCUGCUAAGUUAGGCUGAAAGUAGGUUUUGUCACCUGAACUAGAACGAGCACUUGUUGAUUACAUCUUAAAAAAAAAAAUAAAAAAGAUUAUAAGAGGAAAGAAAUGCAAAAAUGAUUACUAUUCUACAAGUUCAGAAAGUGACGAAGACGUCAUUCCUGACGACCGUACCAAAGGCAGUCCUGACAGAAGCUGUGUGGAUGAUGCUAAAUGUAUUUACUGUAGUGGCUUAUACUCAGAAGAUCGAUCCGGAGAAACUUGGGUACAGUGUGUUUCAUGUAAGCUUUGGGCACACGACCUAUGUUCUGGUGUGGAUGAAGCCAUUUUUGUAUGUGAACACUGUUCUCCGUUAGAUUAAAUAUGGGCUAGGUACCUGGUCCAUAUUUAACUCAACAUAGUGCAUAUUACCCAAACCUUUCCAAAUUCUUAAAAUAUUCAGUUUGUUUUUGUCUCAAUUAUUUUUCUGUUUUAAAUUGAGAAAAAAGUUUAUUUUAGUUUAUUGUUAGAUUCUUCGAUACAUUUACUAAUUAAUAUUUAAUAAAAUAUUAUGAUUUGACUGCAACGCAUGGUGUUAUUGUUAAUUGAGUUUAUGGUAGUCCAUAUUUACCGCACUUACUCUACUAAUAAAAUAUUAGUUUCAACAAUAUUAUUUUGUUUUAUCCUUUUCCCCGUUCAUCCAAAUCGCGUUAGGUCAACUGUCCACCCUAACUAAACAUCAGGGAAAUGUGCUUUGUACCAAGGGUUCAGAUUAGGUUAUGAUAUGAGAGAUCACCAUGGUAUAAUUCGUAGACAACUGUACCCAUCCGUUCUAAUUUGGACGGGUUUGAUUUAUCACUAAAUAUAAUAUUCUGAACUUGUUCAUAGAAAUAAUUUAAAGCAAUGGUGCACUGUGAUUACAUGUAAAGGUCUCGUUGAAAAUGUCAAAUUCAUCAUAUUAUAUACAUACAUAAUUGUUUGACUAACUAAACGUUAAACUUCUUACUAUCAAAUAGAGGGAAAUAUGUCUCAUCAAUACGCAAUGUUGCGAGUUACCUGCUUUAUUUUUACAGUACAUUCAAUACUACGGAAUUUUAUGUGUUUAGGUUAUAACAUCAUCGAUAAAAAUUCCUUACUUCAUUAUGUCACCCACUGUAUUCUGCAGUAUUAGAUAAUGAUGCCCAUAAUUAAAUGUAUAAUUUUUCUAACAGAGGCACUACUAAUCACUGAAAUGGUAUAAUUGUUGUUUUUAUUGUUAACACUAAUUUGCAGGAAGUGUUAUUCCAGUAAAAGCUCUUUCGAUAGAAUCUUAUAAUUUCGUGCAAAGGAAAUUGAUUUCCAUAGGUGCAGGUAAUAAUCAGGAAACGGAAGUAAUUUGCAGGUGCGAUAGAUAUUUAUUUACAUUAAUUAGAGAACAGUUCAACAUCUAGUUUACCUACCGUCAAAUUAGUAUCGUCGUUAAUACAGUAGAACCUCUAUAACUCGAAUAUCAAGGGAGACGCCAAAAAAAUCAAUUUACAGAGUUUUCGACUUAUGGAGGAUUUUGACUUAGGCGGAUUUUGUAGAACUUGUAGAGGUUACGAUUUAUUAUUACUAAUGAGUUAGAGAGGUGAAAUAAAUAAAAAUACAAGUUACAGAGGUAACAAACAUAUUUUUAUUUACUUUAAAUCAACAUUAUUUUAAAACACCCUUACAAUAAAAAAUAUAUGCAGGUACAUAGUAGGUAUGUAUUAAACAGUCAGUAUUUAAAUUAUCGAGUUGUAAAGGUUGUAAAAUAAAAAUUUGCUAUGUUCGAGAUACAGCAGGGGUCCAAUU